Molecule: ribosomal RNA, 141 nt
Filed under: uncultured eukaryote
Lineage: Eukaryota
Description: partial 18S ribosomal RNA
Rfam family: Eukaryotic small subunit ribosomal RNA
Source: RNAcentral
UGGUGGAGUGAUUUGUCUGGUUAAUUCCGAUAACGAACGAGACCCCGUCCUACUUACUAGACCGAGGAUCCUCUCGUUCUCGCUGUCUUCUUAGAGGGACAACUGCUUAUACCCUGAACUACAUGAAAUGGGGCAAUAACA